GAAACACUUAAACAAAAACAUCAAAAAUAACAAGAAAAAUAGAAAGUCAUUUACAUGGAUAUACAUGGGACUUCCUCCCAAGUGAGCUUGUUUUAAGUCACUAAGCUUGACUCUUACAGUGCUUAGUCAGAAACAAGGUUGAAGAGAGGAACAGGGAAGUCUUCAUCUUCAGUGGUUAAAUUUUCAGUGCUUGAGUCAUACUCUACAUCCUCUCUUGAGAUAUGGUAGGAUGAGUACUCAAUUGAUUUUUCUUCAAAGUAAGCUUCUUUUUGAUCAGCAGAGUAGUCUUCUUCUUCUGAACCAGGCUCCUUUGACCAAUCCUCAAAUUCAAAACUGGGGUAGCUUUUAAUCAUUUCUUGAAGUUCCAAGAUUGCAUGGUUGAGUCCUUUCAUUUUGUAAGUUAGCUCCCCAAUGGUAUCCUCUUGAGCUUUGUAUUCUAUCCUGAGUUCCAGAAGUUCUUCAGUAACAGAAUCAAGUGUCAAGUGUUCUUCUUCAGCAUAGGGGUUGGUGGGCUGUUUAGGCGCUCCUGGAGAAGAAAUUGGAAUAGGAGUUUCCUCCUCACUAAACAACUUGCUCUCUAGGCUUCUUUCCUCUAAGUGAACUCCUUUCUGAUCUUCUGGUGUAAACCAUUCUGUUGUGAAAUUUUUGUCCUCCUUGAUAGCUAGUGCAGUUUCUAUCUUCUCUGGGUCAAUACCAUCUGAAAACUUUUUAACUCUUUUUUCAAACAUCCAAAGUUGAUCUUUCAGCCUCAUCACCCUUGAAGAUAAUCCCUCUAUGACUCUACUUUGCCAUUUAAUUUUUUUUUUCAUUUCAUACCAGUCAUCUUUUGUAGGACCUUCAGUCUGAGAUAGCCUUUCUGUUGCUCUCUUCUUGUGGUCAAAAGUUCUCUUCAGCUUGCUAAUUUGAGAAGUAUAAUUGACUUUUGGUGAGGUUUCA
Molecule: small RNA, 936 nt
Filed under: Arabidopsis thaliana (thale cress)
Lineage: Eukaryota; Viridiplantae; Streptophyta; Magnoliopsida; Brassicales; Brassicaceae
Description: ATSL205850
Source: RNAcentral